UUUGGUAUGCAAAAUGCUGCUCAGCGCUUUGACGGCAAUCUCCCUGCAUCUCUAGCGUCGGCAACUGAAACCCGGCAGUAUACGAAAGAUCUGACGAGAAGCUUCUAGGGCCGCCGCAACGGAGAGCAGAGAAACGUUCACCACCUGUUCUAUCCUGGAAAAAAAAUUCACACUUGGUCGAUGGCUUUUUAAGGUACCGGUGCUUGCUUCGUCUUUUGCUUCGCUGUCAACAGUAUUGUACACUUGUGUCUCUAGCAUCUUCUAAGACUGCAGCAAGGCUCAUCAAAAGCAUGUAGCCGAGGCAUGUCGAAACCAAGGGAGACUGCUACCGGCUCCUACCUGCUACCCGCUCCUACUUGCUACCCGCUACUGAAUUUGAUUCCUGCUCAACCUUUAGCAAACAAGAGUCCAUUAGAGGAACACACCGCGCGCUCUUAUAUGGAUUACCAGGUAUCAUGACCUUAAGGUCCUUAAUUGUCUAUAACAGCCCAUUCUGGGUGCCAGGGAGUAGACAUGGGGUUUGUGGGUCAAACCCCCGCAUACACCACAAUACGCUUCAAUUUCUCGAAGCGAAGUAGAGUGUAGAGAUAGGCAAGUACGUAUUGCGAAGGGGAGCUGCCGUGGUGCGUGGAAGCAGGGCGCAUGCAUGCAUGUGCCGGACCACAGUACGGCAGGGGACGCCAAGCUCCUAUUUGGGUCGUACGGGGGCAUUGGUUCCCUAACUGCCGUUGUUUUGACUAUUACCAAGACGUGUGUCCCGCUGCUGGGACAGUGUCCUCUAGUUUCUCCCUUCCCACCGGUCAGUAUCUUUAUAAUUAUCCUUUGUCAUUGGUCUAAUCUUGGAGUACCCGUCUAUGUUCCUUUCCUUGUCAAUCGUCUGUGCCUCGUCGUAUCCCCCACACACCCAGGGCAAUCCCGGGGGUUGCCACAAUGCAGCGGUCCCUGGCUUUUGUCGCUGCUGGCCUCGGGUGGGUCGCCCGGGCUGCUUAGCUACUGUAACGCAACAUGGCAGGACUGAGCAGUACCACGUAUGUGCGCGCAUGUACUAGCCGGCACUACCCCUAUAGGUAGGUUGUGAAUAUUGUCAACAAGGCUAAUGGGUGGCGGCGUCAAAAGACCAUGGUCUGGUCUGUUGACACGGUGUCCCGAUCCGGAACUUUAAUUGCUG
This 1168-nucleotide long non-coding RNA is filed under the name Volvox carteri. RNAcentral's name for it is "long non-coding RNA (VCAR_LNC001694)". The record is from RNAcentral. Lineage: Eukaryota; Viridiplantae; Chlorophyta; Chlorophyceae; Chlamydomonadales; Volvocaceae.